AACGAACGCUGGCGGCAUGCCUAAUACAUGCAAGUCGAACGAGACUUUUGGGAGUAGUGGUGCACGGGUGUGUAAGGGGUGGGAAGCUGAACUUAGGUUCGGAAUAACUGCCAGAAAGGGGUGCUAAUAGCGGAUAAUGUCUUCGGACCAAAGAUUUAUCGCCUUUGGAUGGGCCCGCGUUGGAUUAGCCAGUUGGUAGGGUAAAAGCCUACCAAGGCGACGAAUCAUAGCUGGUCUGAGAGGAUGGUCAGCCACCCUGGGACUGCGACACGGCCCAGACUCCUACGGAAGGCAGCAAGUGGGAAUAUUCAACAAUGGGCGAAAGCCUGAUCCAGCAAGGCCGCGUAAGUCAUGAAGCCCUUAGGAUUGUGUAGCUCUUUUACCCGGGAUGAUAAUGACGGUACCGGGAGAAUAAGCUCCGGCUAACUCCGUG
This 433-nucleotide ribosomal RNA is filed under the name uncultured bacterium. RNAcentral's name for it is "partial 16S ribosomal RNA". It matches the Rfam family "Bacterial small subunit ribosomal RNA", at positions 29 to 507 of the family's 1533-position model. The record is from RNAcentral.